GACGAACGUUGGCGGCGUGCUUAACACAUGCAAGUCGAACGGAAAGGCCCUGCUUUUGUGGGGUGCUCGAGUGGCGAACGGGUGAGUAACACGUGAGUAACCUGCCCUUGACUUUGGGAUAACUCCAGGAAACUGGGGCUAAUACCGGAUAGGAGCUCCUGCUGCAUGGUGGGGGUUGGAAAGUUUCGGCGGUUGGGGACGGACUCGCGGCUUAUCAGCUUGUUGGUGGGGUAGUGGCUUACCAAGGCUUUGACGGGUAGCCGGCCUGAGAGGGUGACCGGCCACAUUGGGACUGAGAUACGGCCCAGACUCCUACGGGAGGCAGCAGUGGGGAAUAUUGCACAAUGGGCGGAAGCCUGAUGCAGCAACGCCGCGUGCGGGAUGACGGCCUUCGGGUCGUAAACCGCUUUCGCCUGUGACGAAGCGUGAGUGACGGUAAUGGGUAAAGAAGCACCGGCUAACUACGUGCCAGCAGCCGCGGUGAUACGUAGGGUGCGAGCGUUGUCCGGAUUUAUUGGGCGUAAAGGGCUCGUAGGUGGUUGAUCGCGUCGGAAGUGUAAUCUUGGGGCUUAACCCUGAGCGUGCUUUCGAUACGGGUUGACUUGAGGAAGGUAGGGGAGAAUGGAAUUCCUGGUGGAGCGGUGGAAUGCGCAGAUAUCAGGAGGAACACCAGUGGCGAAGGCGGUUCUCUGGGCCUUUCCUGACGCUGAGGAGCGAAAGCGUGGGGAGCGAACAGGCUUAGAUACCCUGGUAGUCCACGCUGUAAACGGUGGGUACUAGGUGUGGGGUCCAUUCCACGGGUUCCGUGCCGUAGCUAACGCUUUAAGUACCCCGCCUGGGGAGUACGGCCGCAAGGCUAAAACUCAAAGGAAUUGACGGGGCCCCGCACAAGCGGCGGAGCAUGCGGAUUAAUUCGAUGCAACGCGUAGAACCUUACCUGGGUUUGACAUGGAUCGGGAGCGCUCAGAGAUGGGUGUGCCUCUUUUGGGGUCGGUUCACAGGUGGUGCAUGGCUGUCGUCAGCUCGUGUCGUGAGAUGUUGGGUUAAGUCCCGCAACGAGCGCAACCCUUGUUCACUGUUGCCAGCACGUUAUGGUGGGGACUCAGUGGAGACCGCCGGGGUCAACUCGGAGGAAGGUGGGGAUGACGUCAAGUCAUCAUGCCCCUUAUGUCCAGGGCUUCACGCAUGCUACAAUGGCUGGUACAGAGAGUGGCGAGCCUGUGAGGGUGAGCGAAUCUCGGAAAGCCGGUCUCAGUUCGGAUUGGGGUCUGCAACUCGACCUCAUGAAGUCGGAGUCGCUAGUAAUCGCAGAUCAGCAACGCUGCGGUGAAUACGUUCCCGGG
Molecule: ribosomal RNA, 1343 nt
Filed under: uncultured bacterium
Lineage: Bacteria
Description: 16S ribosomal RNA
Rfam family: Bacterial small subunit ribosomal RNA
Source: RNAcentral